RNAcentral lists this ribosomal RNA (626 nucleotides) under uncultured Geobacteraceae bacterium. RNAcentral's name for it is "partial 16S ribosomal RNA". The stretch from base 1 to 562 matches the Rfam family "Bacterial small subunit ribosomal RNA", at positions 9 to 546 of the family's 1533-position model. The record is from RNAcentral. Lineage: Bacteria; Pseudomonadati; Thermodesulfobacteriota; Desulfuromonadia; Geobacterales; Geobacteraceae.
GAGUUUGAUCCUGGCUCAGAACGAACGCUGGCGGCGUGCUUAACACAUGCAAGUCGAACGUGAUCCGGAGCUUGCUCCGGUGAAAGUGGCGCACGGGUGAGUAACGCGUGGAUAAUCUGCCCUGGUAUCUGGGAUAACAUCUCGAAAGGGGUGCUAAUACCGGAUAAGCCUACGGACUCUUCGGAGUCUGCAGGAAAAGGUGGCCUCUAUUUAUAAGCUUCCGUAUCAUGAUGGGUCCGCGUACCAUUAGCUAGUUGGUGGGGUAAUGGCCUACCAAGGCGACGAUGGUUAGCUGGUCUGAGAGGAUGAUCAGCCACACUGGAACUGAGACACGGUCCAGACUCCUACGGGAGGCAGCAGUGGGGAAUUUUGCGCAAUGGGGGAAACCCUGACGCAGCAACGCCGCGUGAGUGAUGAAGGCUUUCGGGUCGUAAAGCUCUGUCAGAGGGGAAGAAAUGAAACGUGCUAAUAUCACGUUUUCUUGACGGUACCCUCAAAGGAAGCACCGGCUAACUCCGUGCCAGCAGCCGCGGUAAUACAAGGGUSYYYYMRRCARAUAUYCAUCACACUKKCGGCCGGGGCGAGCAGGSAUAAAGWGGRCCGGAAWAAAACACCMURRAARUKYU